RNAcentral lists this ribosomal RNA (508 nucleotides) under uncultured bacterium. Its description in RNAcentral is "bacterial SSU rRNA". It matches the Rfam family "Bacterial small subunit ribosomal RNA", at positions 28 to 525 of the family's 1533-position model. The record is from RNAcentral.
GAUGAACGCUAGCGAUAGGCCUAACACAUGCAAGUCGAGGGGCAUCACAUGAAGUAGCAAUACGGAUGGUGGCGACCGGCGCACGGGUGAGUAACACGUAUGCAACCUGCCUUCAACAAGGGGAUAACCCGUUGAAAGACGGACUAAUACCCUAUAACACAGGGGUCCCGCAUGGGAAUAUUUGUUAAAGGACAACCGGUUGAAGAUGGGCAUGCGUUCCAUUAGCUAGUUGGCGGGGUAACGGCCCACCAAGGCAACGAUGGAUAGGGGAACUGAGAGGUUUAUCCCCCACACUGGUACUGAGACACGGACCAGACUCCUACGGGAGGCAGCAGUGAGGAAUAUUGGUCAAUGGACGCAAGUCUGAACCAGCCACGUCGCGUGAAGGAAGACGGCCCUACGGGUUGUAAACUUCUUUUGUAAGGGAAUAAAGUGUAGUACGCGUACUAUUUUGCAUGUACCUUACGAAUAAGGAUCGGCUAACUCCGUGCCAGCAGCCGCGGUAAAU